RNAcentral lists this ribosomal RNA (382 nucleotides) under uncultured bacterium. Its description in RNAcentral is "bacterial SSU rRNA". It matches the Rfam family "Bacterial small subunit ribosomal RNA", at positions 29 to 414 of the family's 1533-position model. The record is from RNAcentral.
AUUGAACGCUGGCGGCGUGCUUUACACAUGCAAGUCGAGCGGCAGCGCGGGGCAACCUGGCGGCGAGCGGCGAACGGGUGAGUAACAUAUCGGAACGUACCCAGUCGUGGGGGAUAACUAUCCGAAAGGAUAGCUAAUACCGCAUACGACCUGAGGGUGAAAGCGGGGGACCGAAAGGCCUCGCGCGAUUGGAGCGGCCGAUAUCGGAUUAGCUAGUUGGUGGGGUAAAGGCUCACCAAGGCGACGAUCCGUAGCUGGUCUGAGAGGACGACCAGCCACACUGGAACUGAGACACGGUCCAGACUCCUACGGGAGGCAGCAGUGGGGAAUUUUGGACAAUGGGGGCAACCCUGAUCCAGCCAUUCCGCGUGAGUGAAGAAGG